AUCUUUAAUUUAAGGACUGCCCCAAACGGUUGGGCCUAAGGGCUGAUCCAAUAAGGAAAAAAGAGAUCCUAAGUCUGUCCUCACACUUCUUUCCCCUACUCUUCAGAUUUUACACAGCCGUCAAACCCUCCUUUCGCAACCAAAAGCUCUGCUAGGGUUUAACCCCGAUCCCGAUCCUGUGAGCCCAGCCUCGUCUCUUUGAUUCGUCUUAUUCGUCUGUCCUGGGAGCUGUCGCAUCCCCGCUGUUGGAGUCGAACCCUUCAUCUAGCUAUUUCCAGGAGAACAUCUGGCAGUGGUAAUGAUGAGAGGGAUGGUACCGCUUGAUGGACUGGAUGGGUAUUGGGCCCAUUAUGGGGCCCACCGCUGAAGAUUGUAUUUUUGCUAUGUUUUCUUAUUUGUACAAGACUCGUGCUAUUAGUUCUCUAGUGCUUUUUGUUUUAGGCCGUGUGAGGCCUCUUUUACGUUUUAUGGAUAUGUUGGGGGUACGGAGUACUUCAUAUUCCAAAUCUCCGUACCCUCUGAAUAUUAUGUAUAUGGCGUUUUAGUUAAUGGGCUUUAACUAUUUAAU
Molecule: long non-coding RNA, 568 nt
Organism: Vigna unguiculata (cowpea)
Lineage: Eukaryota; Viridiplantae; Streptophyta; Magnoliopsida; Fabales; Fabaceae
Source: RefSeq, a predicted model, not a curated record